RNAcentral lists this ribosomal RNA (497 nucleotides) under uncultured bacterium. Its description in RNAcentral is "partial 16S ribosomal RNA". It matches the Rfam family "Bacterial small subunit ribosomal RNA", at positions 28 to 507 of the family's 1533-position model. The record is from RNAcentral.
GAUGAACGCUGGCGGCGUGCCUAAUACAUGCCAGUAGAACGCUGAAGGAAGGAGCUUGCUCUUUCCGGAUGAGUUGCGAACGGGUGAGUAACGCGUAGGUAACCUGCCUGGUAGCGGGGGAUAACUAUUGGAAACGAUAGCUAAUACCGCAUAACAGUAGAUGUUGCAUGAUAUCUACUUAAAAGGUGCAAUUGCACCACUACCAGAUGGACCUGCGUUGUAUUAGCUAGUUGGUGAGGUAACGGCUCACCAGGGCGACGAUACAUAGCCGACCUGAGAGGGUGAUCGGCCACACUGGGACUGAGACACGGCCCAGACUCCUACGGGAGGCAGCAGUAGGGAAUCUUCGGCAAUGGACGGAAGUCUGACCGAGCAACGCCGCGUGAGUGAAGAAGGUUUUCGGAUCGUAAAGCUCUGUUGUAAGAGAAGAACGAGUGUGAGAGUGGAAAGUUCACACUGUGACGGUAUCUUACCAGAAAGGGACGGCUAACUACGUG